UGUAAGAGGAUGACAAAUAAGAUUUUUUCUCCUGAUUUUCAGCAAUUUCCUAUGAAAAAAAUUCAAAUUCAACUAAAAAUGCUAAAAAUCAAGAGGAAAAGUUUGAUUUGCCUUUCUCCUAUU
RNAcentral lists this microRNA precursor (123 nucleotides) under Gossypium hirsutum (cotton). RNAcentral's name for it is "MIR7504 microRNA precursor family". It matches the Rfam family "MIR7504 microRNA precursor family". The record is from Rfam by way of RNAcentral. Lineage: Eukaryota; Viridiplantae; Streptophyta; Magnoliopsida; Malvales; Malvaceae.